ACGGAAGGCAGCAGUGGGGAAUAUUGGGCAAUGGGCGCAAGCCUGACCCAGCAACGCCGCGUGAAGGAAUAAGGCUUUCGGGUUGUAAACUUCUUUUAAGGGGGAAGAGCAGAAGACUGGACCCCUAGAAUAAGCCACGGCUAACUACGUGCAAGCAGCCGCGGUAAUACGUAGGUGGCAAGCGUUGUCCGGAUUUACUGGGUGUAAAGGGCGUGUAGCCGGGGAGGCAAGUCAGAUGUGAAAUCUAUGGGCUUAACCCAUAAACUGCAUUUGAAACUGUUUCUCUUGAGUGCUGGAGGGGCAAUCGGAAUUCCUUGUGUAGCGGUGAAAUGCGUAGAUAUAAGGAAGAACACCAGUGGCGAAGGCGGAUUGCUGGACAGUAACUGACGCUGAGGCGCGAAAGUGUGGGGAGCAAACAG
Molecule: ribosomal RNA, 419 nt
Rfam family: Bacterial small subunit ribosomal RNA